CCUGGGCUAGAAUGUAUUUUGCUACUUUGAGAAAUUAAAGGUUCCUUCGGGACAAAAUACAAGGUGCUGCAUGGCUGUCGUCAGCUCGUGCCGUGAGGUGUUGGGUUAAGUCCUAUAACGAGCGAAACCCUUUUACUUAAUUGCCAGCACGUAAUGGUGGGAACUUUAAGUAGACUGCCCGUGUAAGCGGGAGGAAGGAGAGGAUGAGGUCAAGUCAUCAUGGCCUUUAUGCCCAGGGCUACACACGUACUACAAUGGCAUGUACAAAAGGAAGCUACUUGGUAACAAGAUGCAAAUCUCAAAAGCAUGUCUCAGUUCGGAUUGAGGUCUGCAAUUCGACCUCAUGAAGUUGGAAUCGCUAGUAAUCGCGUAUCAGCAAUGACGCGGUGAAUACGUUCUCGGACCUUGUACACACCGCCCAUCAAGCCAUGGGAGUUGGUAGAGCUUGAAGACAGUGGCA
This 460-nucleotide ribosomal RNA is filed under the name Cardinium endosymbiont of Bemisia tabaci. RNAcentral describes it as "bacterial SSU rRNA". It matches the Rfam family "Bacterial small subunit ribosomal RNA", at positions 974 to 1435 of the family's 1533-position model. Lineage: Bacteria; Pseudomonadati; Bacteroidota; Cytophagia; Cytophagales; Amoebophilaceae. The record is from RNAcentral.